GAUGAACGCUGGCGGCGUGCCUAAUACAUGCAAGUCGAGCGAACGGACGAGAAGCUUGCUUCUCUGAUGUUAGCGGCGGACGGGUGAGUAACACGUGGAUAACCUACCUAUAAGACUGGGAUAACUUCGGGAAACCGGAGCUAAUACCGGCUAAUAUUUUGAACCGCAUGGUUCAAAAGUGAAAGACGGUCUUGCUGUCACUUAUAGAUGGAUCCGCGCUGCAUUAGCUAGUUGGUAAGGUAACGGCUUACCAAGGCAACGAUGCAUAGCCGACCUGAGAGGGGGAUCGGCCACACUGGAACUGAGACACGGUCCAGACUCCUACGGGAGGCAGCAGUAGGGAAUCUUCCGCAAUGGGCGAAAGCCUGACGGAGCAACGCCGCGUGAGUGAUGAAGGUCUUCGGAUCGUAAAACUCUGUUAUUAGGGAAGAACAUAUGUGUAAGUAACUGUGCACAUCUUGACGGUACCUAAUCAGAAAGCCACGGCUAACUACGUG
This 497-nucleotide ribosomal RNA is filed under the name uncultured bacterium. Its description in RNAcentral is "partial 16S ribosomal RNA". It matches the Rfam family "Bacterial small subunit ribosomal RNA", at positions 28 to 507 of the family's 1533-position model. The record is from RNAcentral.